GACGUAGGGCGCGAGCGUUGUCCGGAUUUAUUGGGCGUAAAGAGCUCGUAGGCGGCUUGUCGCGUCGACUGUGAAAUCCCGCGGCUCAACUGCGGGUCUGCAGUCGAUACGGGCAGGCUAGAGUUCGGUAGGGGAGACUGGAAUUCCUGGUGUAGCGGUGAAAUGCGCAGAUAUCAGGAGGAACACCGAUGGCGAAGGCAGGUCUCUGGGCCGAUACUGACGCUGAGGAGCGAAAGCGUGGGGAGCGAACAGG
This 253-nucleotide ribosomal RNA is filed under the name uncultured bacterium. RNAcentral's name for it is "partial 16S ribosomal RNA". It matches the Rfam family "Bacterial small subunit ribosomal RNA", at positions 524 to 776 of the family's 1533-position model. The record is from RNAcentral.